GCCGGAGUGGCGGAAUUGGCAGACGCCCGGGACUUAAAAUCCCGUGCCAUUUUAUGGCGUACCGGUUCGACCCCGGUCUCCGGCACCA
This 88-nucleotide transfer RNA is filed under the name Bacillota bacterium. RNAcentral describes it as "tRNA-Leu". It matches the Rfam family "tRNA". From Rfam's summary of the family: Transfer RNA (tRNA) molecules are approximately 80 nucleotides in length. Lineage: Bacteria; Bacillati; Bacillota. The record is from RNAcentral.